This 416-nucleotide long non-coding RNA is filed under the name Nicotiana benthamiana. RNAcentral describes it as "long non-coding RNA (NBEN_LNC030339)". The record is from RNAcentral. Lineage: Eukaryota; Viridiplantae; Streptophyta; Magnoliopsida; Solanales; Solanaceae.
UCUGCACAUAUUCCCAAAAAUGGGUCGCUUUAUGAUAUUAUCGCAUCGUCAUCAUCUUCAUAUCCUACCCUUCCCACCCGUAAACGUCAUUUAAGCGUGUGGAUUGGUCACGAAAACUUAUUGCGUGCUAUUACCCAUCCCGUUCUAUAGAUACUAGAUGGCACUUAGGAUCACUAUUUCAAUAAGGUGGGGACUAGGCUGACCCCCUAGGUUCAAAUAUUAAAAUGCUAGGUGAUAUACAAGAACAAAUAGAACUUGCACAUAAGGGGAAUCAUAUAAGCAUGUAAAAGGCUCAAAUAUUCCUGUAUAGACGAACACAUAAUUAUCACGACUCAAACACAUUUAAGGUCUAAGGAAGGAAGAAUCUUUCGAAAACUGGAGUAUAGAUUAAAAUAGAAGUUUGGAAGUUUUGCAGA